CCUACGGGAGGCAGCAGUGAGGAAUAUUGGUCAAUGGACGCAAGUCUGAACCAGCCAUGCCGCGUGCAGGAAGACGGCUCUAUGAGUUGUAAACUGCUUUUGUACGAGGGUAAACGCAGAUACGCGUAUCUGUCUGAAAGUAUCGUACGAAUAAGGAUCGGCUAACUCCGUGCCAGCAGCCGCGGUAAUACGGAGGAUUCAAGCGUUAUCCGGAUUUAUUGGGUUUAAAGGGUGCGUAGGCGGUCGGAUAAGUUAGAGGUGAAAUCCCGAGGCUCAACUUCGGAAUUGCCUCUGAUACUGUUCGGCGAGAGAGUAGUUGCGGUAGGCGGAAUGUAUGGUGGAGCGGUGAAAUGCUUAGAGAUCAUACAGAACACCGAUUGCGAAGGCAGCUUACCAAGCUACUUCUGACGUUGAGGCACGAAAGCGUGGGGAGCAAACAGGAUUAGAUACCCGAGUAGUC
Molecule: ribosomal RNA, 460 nt
Filed under: uncultured bacterium
Lineage: Bacteria
Description: partial 16S ribosomal RNA
Rfam family: Bacterial small subunit ribosomal RNA
Source: RNAcentral